CAGGGAAGGUAGAAGUAGUAGAGAAGGUAGGUUAAAUUUACAUUGUAGCCUCAUUUUCUUGAUUUGACAGGGCAAAGAGAGAAACCCCAGAAGCCAUGUAUCUUGAGUUUUAUUCCAAGUUGGUUACAAAGAGCAAAUUAAGAAAAUAGCCUGGCUGUGGCAAGGGACCUCUGAUACGCCUUGGAGCCGAUGGGACUGGCCUGGGAGGCACCCAAAGUUUCUUUGGCUGUGAUGCAUUAGAGAACUCCUUCAUGCAGAAUGGGAGGGACACCGCACUCAGCCCCUUGGAUGACAGAGCACGGAUGGGCAGCAAUCCUGCAGCUGUGCCUGUGGUGGGUGAGACAACUCCUACACCUCCUUGACUCCUUUUUGCCUUUCUGCCACUCUGCCUUCCCAAAUCCACUCACUUUGCAGCUGAAGGCCAGCCAGGUAGGUCUGCUGGCUGCCUGGGGUCACCGAGCAAGAGGCAGACUGUGGCACUAUGCUGCAAGUAUGGGAAGCGUGGACUUAGAUUUGUGGAGGCUGCAAGGAAGGAGCAGUCUGGUGAGUGUUCAGACAGAUGCUGCAUUCAGUCUGGGAGGCAGAAGAAGAAAUGCACCCUACUUAUUUAUAGGAAGAUGGAAGUUGCUGUGCUAGGCCAAGUGAUUAAGUCUGGUAUCCUGCUUCAGACAAUGAUGAAUGCUGGCUGCUAGAGGACAUGCAAGAAAUGGUGUAGUAAAACAAAGAUAGAAUCACUCAACAUGAACAUUUCUCAUCAUCCCACUGAUAUCUAGGUCACUAGUUAACCAUGUCAACAGCUAGUGACCAGCAUGAGGUGGGAAGGAUGAAGGCUUUACGCUGAACUAUUCUGGUUGAUGUCCUGCAUGAUUCCUUUCACUUAGCUGAAAUGAAAAUGAAGAAUAAAUGAUACCCUCCUUAUCCCGUUCCUUCUGAAAUAUAUGACAAACCUUGUAUUGUUAUCAAAGGUACAGGAUCAAACCUGUCAUUAUCUCACAUACAGCACAAUAAAUAUCGUGACUAGGAGUUAACAGUGCAUCAAAAAUGAUCAUCUCUAAGUCUUGUUGGCAGGCUUUACGUGAACCAAACCCAGGCUGUCAGCUGCGUUCUGUAAUGACAAUGCAGCAGCUCCUCUGUAUUAUCAUUUUCUGUCAGUGCAUACUACAGGUGAAAAAUGCAAGUGAACAGUAUUUUACAUGCACAGAUACAUAACUGAUUAUAUUAUGAAGAACUGCAAGAACAAGACACUUAUUUUUCACUUUUAGGAAUUUGAAUGAGGAGAUCUCAUUACCCAGAAUCAGGAUACAUCUUGCUUGAUGAAUACAAUAACGAAUGGGUUCUUCAAAUCCCUAAUUCACAAGCAUUUCAGAGAGACAGUUCAGCAGCCCAAGAAAGAUGUACUAUUCCUAGAAAUCUUGUGACUCAACUCCUGUCCUGUAUCUGCCAGUGAUUCAAUAGCAUGGCAGCUGAGCACAAACAUGCUUCUGUUAGCAAAGAGGAAGAAGCUGGGCAGAUGGAAAUGGUCUGUGUGGGUGCCAAGGUGGGUCAUCGCACCUGGUCAGGGUUGUAAGAUCGGUGAUACGUGUAAGGCGAUCAGGCUUGCAGGAGGAAAAUCUGAGUUGCCUGUCACUGUGUGGUGGUAAGAAAGGAGGAUGCACAAGGAGAAUGAUAAGCUUGAUGAGCACUUAGGAAGAGGAAAAUGAGGGGUAAUAGUGCUUCCUUUCUAUUUGUUUAACUAGUAAUUUGCUUACCUUUACCUUUAGAUUGAAUACUUUGCCUAAGAAAGCAGUGGCUGCAGCACUUAGUGUGCAGACUUCUGUAGAUUUACAGACAUUGUGUGACAUGGUUGGAGAGAAGAUGGAUUAUCAGCAGGUAGCCAGCAGCCUGGGGAGGGGUUCUUGAGAUUUGUGUGUUUCCAUGGGCAUCUCCUCAAGUCCACCGGUGUGCUGUAGAUUUGGAAAAAAACCAGACUGUGUUCUAUUUAUGAAAGCGAUAAUGACAUCAGGACAAAACUACAUGAUCCACGUAGUUCCUGAAGCUAGGGGUUACUCACAGGAUAUUGCUAGGGCAUCAGAUAAAAAUUUUAACAAGUGGGUGUAAAAAUUUCAUCAUAAGCCUGUCUUUAGGAACCCAAGGAACUGCUCCUAUUUUCAAAAGUGUGGAAUCAUUGACAACUUCAGCUGCUCUCUUCCUCCUGCUUUUAUUUUGUGAAUGGAGUAGGGCUCAGUCUUUCAGACUUUGUGGGAGUUGUUCUAGUUGCCUGAAUUGGUAUCAUGUGUAACAAACUGGUAGGAUGGGUCGGCUACUUUUCCUGUCUUUUAUUUGAAGUUCUUUAAAAUUAUAAAAUCUCUGCAGAGGCAUAAGCCAUCAAAACAUAAAUAAAUGGAAAAGAAAUUUUUCUGUUAAAUACCUUCUUCCUCUCUACUCCAGCCUCCUGGUUGGAGGUUCCUUCCUAUCACUUCUGCUCCCUGCACCAACCAGCACGUGGACACAUCACUCCUGCCUCCCAGUGGCUCCCUGGGGAGAGAAGAACCUGCCCAAAUUAUCCUAAAGAGUGAUUGUGGCUUCACUGAUUAAACUCCUUAGGGUAGUGAUGUACCCAAAAAGGCUGAUGACUGCAAGUGAUGCUUAGUUUCAAGCAUAGUUCCAAGGGCAAAAAAGGCUCCUCCUGCCAAAUUUGGUUAGUUUUCCCAGUUUAAAUGUUUGUUGACGACUUGCAUGUGUGAAUAGGUCUUGCCAUAAGCUAUCUUCCUCAAACAAUCUCAGUUACAUUGGUCUUAUUGCCCACUUCCGUUGACAGCCUUUUGGAGGGAGGAGAGGAUGUCAUGAAUGCAGAAGUGCAUCCCCAUUAGUUGGAUAUUUUUAUUUUUCCCAGCACAUGGAUCUAAGAUGGCCCUGCUGUCUUCUUGCUGUAACUUAAUUGCAUGGAUCAGAAUUCGAUUCACAUUAGUUUUCUGGCCCUAAAUGCUGAAAGUCUAGAACUAUUCAAGAGAAUAACUUUAUGUCAUAACAGCCUUACUCUUACUGCCAUUAAUGUUUCUUGAUCAUCUCUAUUUCAGCCAUGUAGAGGCACAUAACUGAGGUAUUCCUUGGGUAGCAAGAUGGUUUCUGUCAGUUGGGGCUUGAAGACUUUUGGAACAACAUCAUUUCUAGCACAGAAACAUCAGGAAGGUUGGGAGCCCAUCAGGGACCUGAUUGCAAGACAUGUUGUCCUGAUUCUUCCAUUUUGUAAUGUGGAGGGAUCCAGCUGUUUGACAACCACAAAUCACACUGAAGCCUCGAGCAGUAUAACUGAUUUCCUGGUGGACUCGGGGUGAUCAGUGUCCUGGACCAGACAGCCCAGGACAUGGCUUUUCUCUGUGUUUGAACUUUUACAGGUCUGUGGGCUUCAGGCAGCCUCCUUCUCUACCACUGGAAGAAUCAACUUUAUAUUCAGUAAGUUCAAAAGAGGACCUUAACUUCCAGCCAGAUGUGCUGAUCUGUGGGGCAUGUCUGGGCGUAUGUGGCAUGAGAAGAGGCUGUCAUCUAUGGGCCUGUGUUUGCAAAAGACUUGUAGGACUGCUACCUACAAGUGGCUUUUGGGGACAGCCGUGUCCAUGCUCUUGGGCAUACAUCCACUCUCUUAAGCAACUGAGCAAGCACCCAGAAAGACAGACGGGUGCUGCACUGCAUACAUCACUUCCUAAACAUUGCCCUGUCUCUAAUCCACAGCUGCUGUGGAUUUUCCUAUCAGCAUAAGGCCACUUCAUCUGAAUAAGCAACAACAGGAUCUGAAGAAGCAAUAGAUUUUGAGACAACUGGGGCAAUCAUACUUUGAUCUCUGGCAAAGCCCAAGGGCUUGAUUAUUAUCCGGUGGAAGGAGCUGAGACAAAUGAGUUUUCAGGAGUAGGGAUCUCAAAGAGUUCAGGCUGGAGGUGGAAUAGAGUGAGGGGUGAGGGGGUGUGCCCUCCUCCCAGGAUAACAAGGUCAGUCAUUAGCAAGCCACAGGGUCCUCUCGAGCCCAGCACUUUACAGGGCUCACAUGCAUUUUGUAGGAGCAGGCAGGAAUGGUUCUUUCCAUAGACCUCUGCCACUUCUUUGGAAGCUGAUCAAACCUGUUUUAUUAAAAACCACCAUUGACUUCUAAUAUUUUUACACUGAUUAAGAACAUUGACUUGGCUGACUGAACAAGGGAACCAAUUGUAGCUCAGCUGCUUCAUGCUGGAAAAGCUUUGAUCAGACUGAGUGGGCGUCUAUGUUUAAGGUACCCUAUAAAAUGAAUUUUGGUGAUAAGCUUAUAAACUGAAUUUGAACCUUGCACAGGCUCCAGAGAAGGAAUAAAAAGCUCAAUUUAUAUUCUCUACAGAUACACACCAAGAUGUCCCUUUAACCUUUGGUUGUUUUACCUAGGGGGUCAAUAUGUUUCUUAAACCGUUUGAAAUUAUUUGUACAGAUUAGCUGCCUGUGCUGAAGAUGGAGAGCUUUCAGGGUGGCUCCCAGGAGUCCUGAAACCAACUAUAAUGAAUGAGUUUGGUAUUUUACUUGGAGGAAAAAAUGCUGAAUGAGUUACAGAGCUGCCAGAUAGUCCCAGUUCAUUCACACAGACUUGAGGAUAAUGUGCUUCUCUUGAUCCCAACGUGGUAUCAUUAGAAAAGCUUAUUUCAAGGAUAUUCAUGUCUGACAUCUUCCCUCCCUCAUUACUUAUCAGGCUCUAUAGUUACACACAACAGUGAAUUGCCAUUAGAAGACAACAGUACCUGGGGGAGCAUGUAGUGGGGUUCAUCUCCCCUUUCCACUGAAGCUGGUAACCAAACUUGCAUGGGAUCAAAUGGAAGCAAGAGCAGGUGGUCAUACUGUGAAAUCCUCCAGUCCAAUACAUCCGGGGGCGGGGGGGUGCACAUGCGUAGGAAUCAGUCUGAAGAGUUUGGUAACUGGUCAAGUAAUUAUUCAUCACCAGUGGUGAGUACAGCGCAUAUCCCAGCACAGCCCUCGUGGAGAGUCCGAGGCUGCCACAAACCCUGGGCACAAAGGAAUCAUCACAGUAGUGAUGGGGUCUUUGCCCCGGAGAGAUUUUCUUUAGAUGGUGGGUGAGGUUGUGAUCUGUCUGAACAAGUGUCUAAAUAUUUCAUCAGAGGAGUCAUCUGUCCCACAGCUAUAGGAAAAGAGAGACUUUUGUUUGCAUUUUCUCAAGGCUGAGGGCUGGAAGUGAGAAACCCAAGGUCUGGCUCUUUGAUGGCCUUCUGCAUACCUGUGGGCAAGCUGCGCUACUCCGGCACUCUCCCCAUGUCUGCUCUGAAAGGUAAUUGCUGAGACCUGGCAGCACCCUGAGUUUCUGCAGAUAUUUCCCCUUCCCUGCUUCAAAACAAAUCCACUUCAUUUAUCAUAAUAAAGGAAACA
Molecule: long non-coding RNA, 5373 nt
Organism: Falco peregrinus (peregrine falcon)
Lineage: Eukaryota; Metazoa; Chordata; Aves; Falconiformes; Falconidae
Exons: 3
Source: RefSeq, a predicted model, not a curated record